CGGCGUGCCUAAUACAUGCAAGUCGAACGAAGCUUUCUUUCACCGAAUGCUUGCAUUCACCGAAAGAAGCUUAGUGGCGAACGGGUGAGUAACACGUAGGUAACCUGCCCGAAAGAGGGGGAUAACACUUGGAAACAGGUGCUAAUACCGCAUAACCAUGAACACCGCAUGAUGUUCAUGUAAAAGACGGCUUUUGCUGUCACUUUUGGAUGGGCCUGCGGCGUAUUAACUUGUUGGUGGGGUAACGGCCUACCAAGGUGAUGAUACGUAGCCGAACUGAGAGGUUGAUCGGCCACAUUGGGACUGAGACACGGCCCAAACUCCUACGGGAGGCAGCAGUAGGGAAUCUUCCACAAUGGACGAAAGUCUGAUGGAGCAACGCCGCGUGAAUGAAGAAGGCCUUCGGGUCGUAAAAUUCUGUUGUCAGAGAAGAACGUGCGUGAGAGUAACUGUUCACGUAUUGACGGUAUCUGACCAGAAAGCCACGGCUAACUACGUGCCAGCAGCCGCGGUAAUACGUAGGUGGCAAGCGUUGUCCGGAUUUAUUGGGCGUAAAGGGAACGCAGGCGGUCUUUUAAGUCUGAUGUGAAAGCCUUCGGCUUAACCGAAGUAGUGCAUUGGAAACUGGAAGACUUGAGUGCAGAAGAGGAGAGUGGAACUCCAUGUGUAGCGGUGAAAUGCGUAGAUAUAUGGAAGAACACCAGUGGCGAAAGCGGCUCUCUGGUCUGUAACUGACGCUGAGGUUCGAAAGCGUGGGUAGCAAACAGGAUUAGAUACCCUGGUAGUCCACGCCGUAAACGAUGAGUGCUAAGUGUUGGAGGGUUUCCACCCUUCAGUGCUGCAGCUAACGCAUUAAGCACUCCGCCUGGGGAGUACGGU
This 879-nucleotide ribosomal RNA is filed under the name uncultured bacterium. RNAcentral's name for it is "bacterial SSU rRNA". It matches the Rfam family "Bacterial small subunit ribosomal RNA", at positions 40 to 886 of the family's 1533-position model. The record is from RNAcentral.